This 504-nucleotide ribosomal RNA is filed under the name uncultured bacterium. RNAcentral describes it as "bacterial SSU rRNA". It matches the Rfam family "Bacterial small subunit ribosomal RNA", at positions 791 to 1297 of the family's 1533-position model. The record is from RNAcentral.
UAGUCCACGCCGUAAACGAUGUCAACUAGGUGUUGGAGUGGUUAAUCGCUCCAUUGCCGGAGCUAACGCGAUAAGUUGACCGCCUGGGGAGUACGCUCGCAAGAUUGAAACUCAAAGGAAUUGACGGGGGCCCGCACAAGCGGAGGAACAUGUGGUUUAAUUCGAUGAUACGCGAGGAACCUUACCUGGACUUAAAUGUACGUUGCAUAGAUUGGAGACAGUCUUUUCUUCGGACUACGUACAAGGUGCUGCAUGGUUGUCGUCAGCUCGUGCCGUGAGGUGUCGGGUUAAGUCCCAUAACGAGCGCAACCCCUAUCCUUAGUUGCCAGCGGAUUAUGCCGGGGACUCUGAGGAGACUGCCACCGUAAGGUGUGAGGAAGGUGGGGAUGACGUCAAAUCAGCACGGCCCUUAUGUCCAGGGCUACACACGUGUUACAAUGGACGGUACAAAGGGCAGCUACCUGGCGACAGGAUGCUAAUCUCUAAAGCCGUUCUCAGUUCGGA